AAGGAGAAACGCCGAGAACCGGAUUGGAGUGCGUUUCAGGGGCGCGCGGAAACGCCCCGGGGAGAGCCGGGAGGCAGCGGCGACGGCGCAGCCUGGGACGGCCAGGAGCGCGGGGCGGGGAGCGGCCGGUGGCCGUGGGCGUCUCACCAAAGCGGCCCUGGAGGGGCCCCCGGCUCCCAGCCAAGCCCACGUGAAGCAGCAUCAGGGCAGUUGCAGCUGUAGAGGAACCGCGCGUCGU
Molecule: non-coding RNA, 238 nt
Organism: Equus caballus (horse)
Lineage: Eukaryota; Metazoa; Chordata; Mammalia; Perissodactyla; Equidae
Source: Rfam